RNAcentral lists this ribosomal RNA (799 nucleotides) under uncultured Rhizophagus. Its description in RNAcentral is "SSU rRNA". It matches the Rfam family "Eukaryotic small subunit ribosomal RNA", at positions 314 to 1114 of the family's 1831-position model. Lineage: Eukaryota; Fungi; Glomeromycota; Glomeromycetes; Glomerales; Glomeraceae. The record is from RNAcentral.
AUCAACUUUCGAUGGUAGGAUAGAGGCCUACCAUGGUGGUAACGGGUAACGGGGUGUUAGGGCACGACACCGGAGAGGGAGCCUGAGAAACGGCUACCACAUCCAAGGAUGGCAGCAGGCGCGCAAAUUACCCAAUCCCGACACGGGGAGGUAGUGACAAUAAAUAACAAUACGGGGUUCUUUAGGAUCUCGUAAUUGGAAUGAGUACAAUUUAAAUCUCUUAACGAGGAACAAUUGGAGGGCAAGUCUGGUGCCAGCAGCCGCGGUAAUUCCAGCUCCAAUAGCGUAUAUUAAAGUUGUUGCAGUUAAAAAGCUCGUAGUUGAAUUUCGGGGUUAGUAGGUUGGUCAUGCCUCUGGUAUGUACUGGUCUCACUGAUUUCUCCUUCCUGAUGAACCGUAAUGCCAUUAAUUUGGUGUUGCGGGGAAUUUGGACUGUUACUUUGAAAAAAUUAGAGUGUUUAAAGCAAGCUAACGCUUGAAUACAUUAGCAUGGAAUAAUGAAAUAGGACGUUCGAUCCUAUUUUGUUGGUUUCUAGGAUUGACGUAAUGAUUAAUAGGGAUAGUUGGGGGCAUUAGUAUUCAAUUGUCAGAGGUGAAAUUCUUGGAUUUAUUGAAGACUAACUACUGCGAAAGCAUUUGCCAAGGAUGUUUUCAUUAAUCAAGAACGAAAGUUAGGGGAUCGAAGACGAUCAGAUACCGUCGUAGUCUUAACCAUAAACUAUGCCGACUAGGGAUCGGAUGAUGUUAAUUUUUUAAUGACUCAUUCGGCGCCUUACGGGAAACCAAAGUGUUUGGGUUC